This is a long non-coding RNA of Homo sapiens (human), 736 nucleotides long. Ensembl annotates it as DDX59 antisense RNA 1. Its record names the gene DDX59-AS1. The record is from Ensembl. NCBI's taxonomy places the organism in Eukaryota, Metazoa, Chordata, Mammalia, Primates, Hominidae.
GUGCACUGGCGGGCCCUCCCCUCGGGCGUUGCCUCCCACCCACGCCCGGCGGCACCGCACCCCGAGGCGCUUCACGUCACGGAGCUGCUAGGAGACGGGCGGGGCUCCGGUUCCGGACGGAAUCUCACUCUGUCACCCAGGCUGGAGUGCAGUGGCACAAUCUCAGCUCACUGCAACCUCGACCUCCCAGGUACAAGCAAUUCUCCUGCCUCAGCCUCCCAAGUAGCUGGGAUUACAGAUGGAGUUUUGCUCUUGUCGCCCCGGCUGGAGUGCAGUGGUGCGACCUCAGCGAUCUCAGCGAUCUCAGCGAUCUCAGCUCACUACAACCUCUGCCUCUUGGAUUCAAGCAGUUCUCCUGCCUCAACCACCUGAGUAGCUGGGAUUACAGGCGCCUGCCACCACGCCUGGCUAAUUUUUGUAUUUUUAGUAGAGAUGGGGUUUCACCAGGUUGGUCAGUCUGGUCUCGAACUCCUGACCUCAGGUGAUCCACCCACCUCGGCCUCCCAAAGUGCUGGGAUUACAGGCGUGAGCCACCAUGCCCAGCCUACACUUGGGCUUCUUAGGCACAAGAUCCAGUAAGCCCUCCCUCCUCCUCCCCACCCCUUUUUUCUUUACACUAGUGUUUUCUGUAAUCCUGCAACAGAAAGAGUCCUAACUGAUAUAUUUGUGACCAUUUCUAAAAUCUCCAAAAUGUAAAAUUAUACAAUUAAGAAUUAAAAUAAUUUUUUAAAACCAA